UUCCCAUACCGAACACGGAAGUUAAGCUCUCUAGCGCCGAUGGUAGUUGGGACCUUGUCCCUGUGAGAGUAGGACGUCGCCAAGCU
Molecule: ribosomal RNA, 86 nt
Filed under: Streptococcus pneumoniae
Lineage: Bacteria; Bacillati; Bacillota; Bacilli; Lactobacillales; Streptococcaceae
Source: RNAcentral